This 557-nucleotide ribosomal RNA is filed under the name uncultured bacterium. RNAcentral's name for it is "partial 16S ribosomal RNA". It matches the Rfam family "Bacterial small subunit ribosomal RNA", at positions 355 to 905 of the family's 1533-position model. The record is from RNAcentral.
UGGGGAAUUUUGGACAAUGGGCGAAAGCCUGAUCCAGCAAUGCCGCGUGUGUGAAGAAGGCCUUCGGGUUGUAAAGCACUUUUGUCCGGAAAGAAAUCCUUGGCUCUAAUACAGUCGGGGGAUGACGGUACCGGAAGAAUAAGCACCGGCUAACUACGUGCCAGCAGCCGCGGUAAUACGUAGGGUGCAAGCGUUAAUCGGAAUUACUGGGCGUAAAGCGUGCGCAGGCGGUUUGCUAAGACCGAUGUGAAAUCCCCGGGCUCAACCUGGGAACUGCAUUGGUGACUGGCAGGCUAGAGUAUGGCAGAGGGGGGUAGAAUUCCACGUGUAGCAGUGAAAUGCGUAGAGAUGUGGAGGAAUACCGAUGGCGAAGGCAGCCCCCUGGCAAGUACUGACGCUCAUGCACGAAAGCGUGGGGAGCAAACAGGAUUAGAUACCCUGGUAGUCCACGCCCUAAACGAUGUCAACUAGUUGUUGGGGAUUCAUUUCCUUAGUAACGUAGCUAACGCGUGAAGUUGACCGCCUGGGGGAGUACGGUCGCAAGAUUAAAACUUAAA